GGUGGCAAGUGAUGAAGAAAUUAAUUAUAUGCUAGACACUGAAUCAUAUGUGUCGACAAUAAACUCCGCUUAUUAUCUGAUGCCACA
Molecule: small nucleolar RNA, 87 nt
Filed under: Setaria italica (foxtail millet)
Lineage: Eukaryota; Viridiplantae; Streptophyta; Magnoliopsida; Poales; Poaceae
Also listed under: 1 other name
Description: Small nucleolar RNA R16
Rfam family: Small nucleolar RNA R16
About the family: snoR16 is a member of the C/D class of snoRNA which contain the C (UGAUGA) and D (CUGA) box motifs. Most of the members of the box C/D family function in directing site-specific 2'-O-methylation of substrate RNAs.
Source: Rfam by way of RNAcentral